Molecule: long non-coding RNA, 327 nt
Organism: Gavialis gangeticus (Gharial)
Lineage: Eukaryota; Metazoa; Chordata; Crocodylia; Gavialidae
Exons: 3
Source: RefSeq, a predicted model, not a curated record
GUCCCAAUCUCCCCUGUCCAGCUGCCAGUUGGUUUCAGUGGCUGGAGUCGUAUGGGUCUCCUGCAGAAAAAGAACAGUAUACCCUCCCUCCUGGAGAAAGGAGAGUACCUGGCACCUGCGGAGACUCAUCCUGCAGCCACAUAUGUUGAGGAUCACAGUGAGGGACCUCAUCGGUGGGGCAUGCUGUUAAGUUUAGCAGGGCUUUCAUGGGAGACAAUGCCAGCUGCAGGGCUCAUUAGGAAUCCCAACUCCCUCCCAUAGGUGUAGAGGGCAUCAUGGAAGCUGAAGGCCUGCUGAUAGUUCCUGGUCUCUCACUCUGGAUGCUGG